Molecule: ribosomal RNA, 462 nt
Filed under: uncultured bacterium
Lineage: Bacteria
Description: partial 16S ribosomal RNA
Rfam family: Bacterial small subunit ribosomal RNA
Source: RNAcentral
GACGAACGCUGGCGGCGUGCUUAACACAUGCAAGUCGAGCGGAAAGGCCCUUCGGGGUACUCGAGCGGCGAACGGGUGAGUAACACGUGAGUAACCUGCCCCAGACUUUGGGAUAACCCUCGGAAACGGGGGCUAAUACCGGAUACGACACAGCUUCGCAUGAGGUCUGUGUGGAAAGUUUUUCGGUUUGGGAUGGGCUCGCGGCCUAUCAGCUUGUUGGUGGGGUGAUGGCCUACCAAGGCGACGACGGGUAGCCGGCCUGAGAGGGCGACCGGCCACACUGGGACUGAGACACGGCCCAGACUCCUACGGGAGGCAGCAGUGGGGAAUAUUGCACAAUGGGCGGAAGCCUGAUGCAGCGACGCCGCGUGAGGGAUGACGGCCUUCGGGUUGUAAACCUCUUUCAGCAGGGACGAAGCGUAAGUGACGGUACCUGCAGAAGAAGCGCCGGCCAACUACGUG